Molecule: long non-coding RNA, 2502 nt
Organism: Diorhabda sublineata
Lineage: Eukaryota; Metazoa; Arthropoda; Insecta; Coleoptera; Chrysomelidae
Exons: 2
Source: RefSeq, a predicted model, not a curated record
ACCUUAUUUCUAUGUUCCUUUUAUGUUUUUAUCACUUGUUUGAAAUAUGAUAAAUGAAUAAAAAACAAAUUUAAAGUUAUAAUAAAAUGAUUGUUGAUGUUGUAAUUUAUUUAAAAUGUAUAAUUUCAUCAAAACAAUAAAAUUUGAUAAAUUAAUGAAAAUGUAAUCAAGAAAGUGUAGUCAAUUUCUCGUUUUCCAUUACUGUGUUGUUAUAAGUUUUAAGAAUAGUUAUAGUAAGUAUUAAGUAAUACAAAUUAGUAAAUUCUUUUUCAGAAUAAAAAACACUAUUUUUUUACUUUCCCAACCAGAAUUUUAAUUUUAUAUUGUUGAAUCCUCUAAAUAAAAAUAAAUCCGAAUUUUAUCAUAAUCGGUUUUAAAAUAAUGUAAUAACAUACCUCUAAUUAAAAUGUUUCGUACCAAAUUAACUUGUAAGGAAGUGACUUACAGAAGAAGUGAAUCUAAUCAUCAGGAUCUAGACUUGCGGUAGCGUUUCAAGCAAAGUUCAAGUAUAACAAUUGGCGAUCAGAACUUUUUAUCCCCGCAUAACUCAGAAACUAUUUCUCAUAAACGUAUCAAAUUUGGCUCAUAUAUUGAAACUUGUGGGAUACAUAUGUGCUUCAAAUGCAUCUCAAACGGUUAUUUAGAUAUUAACGUCUGAAAAUCGUCAUUUUUAUCACUGACUCACCUAUAGAUCAAAACUCCAAUCCAGUUCCACAGUUCCAGAUGAUCUAGGAAGUUCAAAUUCAACUCGCAGAUAGAUAAUUAGGUGAAUACAAAGGAAUAAAUCAUUAACUGAUAUUGUAAACUAUGGAUAGACCAGGACCUUCUUCAGGUAGUAAGAGAAAUAGUUCCACAACAGAUUUACAGCAUUCAAAGAGACUUCGGAUAGGUAUAAAUGUGUCUAAUCCAAAUUAUACGCGAGUGAUUGAGAGCUGGAUCGCGGAUCUGAGGUUGACGACGUUAGUGAAGAUUUUUGACCCGAGCACAGUGAGCAUAAUACAGAUACUAGCACUGAUAUUUCUGAUACCGAAGAAACUCAACCUGAACACCUGGACGCGCCGUCAUCGUCAUCAGAUGAAGAUGUUCCGCUUUCAAGGCUGGGAUGUUUUAGAGGAAAGAAUAAAUAUAAGUGGUCUAAAUCACUUCCAAACAGAUCAUCUGUUAGAACUCCACAACAUAAUAUUAUUAACCGAGUACCUACCUCCAAUUUGACCGAAAAUGAUGGAAAGGAUCCUUAUUCUUUAUGGAAACAAUAUAUAAAUGGCGAAAUGUUAUCGGAGAUUAUGCUAAGAACCAAUGAGAAGCUGGCUGAAUACAGAUGUAAAUAUACAAAGCAGGAUCGCCCAGAACUAAAGGAUACUGAUAUGAUUGAGUUGCAAGCUUUUAUUGGCCUAUUGAUGUACACAGCUGUAUUCAAAUCUAACCACCAAGACGCAGAUUUAAUAUUUGCUACUGAUAGUACUGGAAGAGAAAUAUUAUCAGAUGAAGAAAAAAAGUUUUUAGUUCCUACGCAGGCUGUGAUUCGUUUGAACUGUUACAUGGCAGUAAUAAAAAUAUAAUGUGUGACAAUUGGUUCACGUCAAUACAACUAAUUGAUGCAUUGAAAUAGAGAGGCUUGACCUGUGUAGGUAUGGUAACAAAAGGGAAAUACCCUCAGAGUUCUUGCCCGCUAAAACGAGACCAGAAAAAUCAACUUAAUAUGGUUUUACAAAAGACACAACGUUAUUAUCUCAUGUUCCCAAGAAGGGAAAAGCAGUUAUUUUGGCUUCAUCAAUGCAUCAUACUGAAGAAACAGAUACGGACUCAGGGAAGCCAGAAAUUAUAAAGUUUUAUAAUUCUACGAAAGGUGGUAUAGAUGAAAUAGAUAAGAAAUGCUCUAUAUACACUUGCAGCCGCCGAUCAAGACUCUGGCCAAUUUUUUACCUAAUUUUAGAUAUAAGUUCCGUAAAUUCUCACAUUUUACAUGAUGUACAUGUCGGAAGACAAACUGAUAGAGGAGCCUUUAUAAAAAAAUUAGCACGAUAGUUGAUAUUAGAGCACAUAAAGCGAAAAUUUUGUAACCUAAGAUUGCCUCGUGAACUUAGGAUGAGUUUGGCAAGAGUACUUGGUUCUGAUAAGCCAGAGGCAUCUGAAGAUCAAGCAGAAGUCAAGACACGCAAGACUUGUUUUUCUUGUCAACCUAAACUCCAAAAGAAAAUCGACGUUUACGUGCUAUUCGUGCAAAAAACAUUUGUUUACAGUGCAUGAAACAAGUGUGCCCUAACUGCUUAGAAUUUAAGGUGUAGUUCGACUGUAGACAUUUUUUUCCAGAAUUUUUAUGUUCCUACUAUUUUUUUUCUUAAAGUUAUAUUAUGUAAGAAAUACUAUUUUUUGUUAUUCUGAGAGGAUUUGUUUUUGUGUUAUGAUUUUUUAUAUCUAAUUGUCGGAUUUUCCCUCAAAAUUCAAGCAAAAUAUUAUUGUAGUCCUUAAUUUAAAAAUAUAAUAAAGUUUAUUUUCUUUCUA